This 658-nucleotide ribosomal RNA is filed under the name uncultured bacterium. RNAcentral's name for it is "bacterial SSU rRNA". It matches the Rfam family "Bacterial small subunit ribosomal RNA", at positions 267 to 916 of the family's 1533-position model. The record is from RNAcentral.
ACCAAGGCAACGAUGGGUAGCCGGCCUGAGAGGGUGGUCGGCCACACUGGGACUGAGAUACGGCCCAGACUCCUACGGGAGGCAGCAGUCGAGAGGCUUCGGCAAUGGGGGAAACCCUGACCGAGCGACGCCGCGUGGGUGAUGAAGAUUCUCGGAUCGUAAAACCCUGUCAGGUGGGAUGAAAUACCAUUCGGUUAACACCCGAGUGGCUUGACAGUACCACCAGAGGAAGCUCCGGCUAACUCCGUGCCAGCAGCCGCGGUAACACGGGGGGAGCAAGCGUUGUUCGGAUUCAUUGGGCGUAAAGAGCUCGUAGGCGGCUCUGUAAGUCGGAGGUGAAAGACCACAGCUCAACUGUGGAAACGCCUUCGAAACUGCGGAGCUUGAGGCCGGGAGAGGAAAUCGGAAUUCCUGGUGUAGCGGUGAAAUGCGUAGAUAUCAGGAGGAACACCGGUGGCGAAGGCGGAUUUCUGGACCGGUUCUGACGCUCAGGAGCGAAAGCCAGGGGAGCAAACAGGAUUAGAUACCCUGGUAGUCCUGGCUGUAAACGAUGGGCACUAGGUGUGGGGGGAUCGACCCCUUCCGUGCCGCAGUUAACGCAUUAAGUGCCCCGCCUGGGGAGUACGACCGCAAGGUUGAAACUCAAAUGAAUUGACGG